RNAcentral lists this ribosomal RNA (255 nucleotides) under uncultured bacterium. RNAcentral's name for it is "partial 16S ribosomal RNA". The record is from RNAcentral.
CUGCUGCCUCCCGUAGGAGUUUGGGCCGUGUCUCAGUCCCAAUGUGGCCGGUCACCCUCUCAGGUCGGCUACUGAUCGUCGCCUUGGUGGGCCGUUACCCCGCCAACCAGCUAAUCAGACGCGGGUCCAUCUCAUACCACCGGAGUUUUUCACACCAGGACAUGCAUCCCUGUGCGCUUAUGCGGUAUUAGCAGUCAUUUCUAACUGUUAUCCCCCUGUAUGAGGCAGGUUACCCACGCGUUACUCACCCGUCCG